RNAcentral lists this ribosomal RNA (1229 nucleotides) under Aporrectodea longa. Its description in RNAcentral is "partial 16S ribosomal RNA". It matches the Rfam family "Bacterial large subunit ribosomal RNA", at positions 582 to 2825 of the family's 2925-position model. Lineage: Eukaryota; Metazoa; Annelida; Clitellata; Crassiclitellata; Lumbricidae. The record is from RNAcentral.
UACUAAAAUCAACCAUCUAUAUUAUAUAUUAAAUAAAACACUUAACUAUCUACUCCUACUAACUAACCAAAUCAAAGUACUAAAAAGGAAAUAACAAUAACAUAAAGUAGUGAAGACCCACGUACCUUGUGCAUUAUGGUUUUACAAGCUAUAAAUUUAUAAUAUACUCCCGAAUUCUACACGAGCUGUCCCCAUAUAGCUAAGAGCCCACUACUAGUUGUAGCAACAACUUUAGAAAAUAUGUUGACAGAGGCUACAUACCACACGCGUUAGAAAAUUGCUGGUUUUCAGUAAAAUUUAUUAAUUAAAACAUGUAGUAAUAACUACAAUGUAAGACUUCAGAGGACAAGCCCUGAAGCCUAAAGCUAAUAAACAUUCCACAAAAUAUUUAGGCCUAAAAACAGCCAUCUAUAUUACUUUACCGUAAUACAUAUAUAAUACUUGAAAUUACUCUGCACACCAAAACUGAAAUUUAAGACAAAUUUUAAAUAUUAAAAUAAUAUGUAAAAAUAAGUAUUAAGUAUAAACAACAAUAUAUUAAAAUAUUUUUCUCAAUAAAACAAAUAAAAGCUUAUAAAGGAACUCGGCAAAUUCUUAUUUUUCCCGCUAAAAUAUGAGAAGUAAUUCCUGCCCAGUGACUCAGUUCAACGGCCGCGGUAUCCUAACCGUGCAAAGGUAGCAUAAUCACUUGCCCAUUAAUUGUGGGCUAGAAUGAAAGGACUAACGAAAUAAAAACUGUCUCUAUAAGCCUAAUAAAAAUUAAUCUCUAACUGAAGAGUGUUAGAUAUCGUCGAAGGACAAGAAGACCCUAUAGAGCUUUAUUUUAACAAAAACCCAAAAAAUUUUCAAUAAAAUUCGGUUGGGGCGACCAGGGAAUAUAAAUCAUCCCCUAUAAACAGAUAACUUAAUCUAAACUCUGACCCUUAAACAAGAUCAACAAAUCAAGCUACCUUAGGGAUAACAGGCUAAUCCCGCUAAAGAGUCCUUAUCAAUAGUGGGGGUUGGCACCUCGAUGUUGGCUUAGGGAAUCUAUGCGGCGCAAAAGUCGCAUAAAGAUGGUUUGUUCAACCAAUAAUACCCUACAUGAGCUGAGUUCAGACCGGCGUAAGCCAGGUUAGUUUCUAUCCUCGAUAAACAAUCUAUUUAUAGUACGAAAGGACCUAAAUAGAAUAAUAAUUAUGUCUAAAGAUUAAGUAUAAUGCAUAUUUAAAUUAAAAACACAUAAACUA